Antechinus flavipes (yellow-footed antechinus) is the source of this 6413-nucleotide long non-coding RNA. RefSeq lists it as uncharacterized. The transcript has 2 exons. The record is from RefSeq and is a predicted model, not a curated record. Lineage: Eukaryota; Metazoa; Chordata; Mammalia; Dasyuromorphia; Dasyuridae.
CAAAAGUGAGACAAUUCCUGCCCUCAGGGAGCUUCUAUUUUAUAAUAUAACAACAAAGAAAGACCCAGAGUAAAAUCAAAAUGGAGAAAAUGUUACUAUCAGCUGGGGGAAUCAGAAAACUCUGGUACAGGGCUGGCACCUGAGCCUAGUACUUUAAGAGGAAUUAGGGAUCGUUUGAGGCAGAGGGAAGAUGAGAGAAUUCCUAAUGCUGAAUCCAGAGAAACCCUCAGUGAUCAGGAAAUGAGAAGGCUCAGCCAACUGCUUGUUAAGUCAGGAUUGCUCAGUGACUCUCCCAAAUACAAACAGAAAGCUCCUUCCUGUCCUUCCGCCCUCUUCCUUCCCCUUACCCCUUUGCCCUACAUUGUGCCUGAACGCCUUGGUUUUGAUGGGCAGCUUUUUCAAAUAGUGGAAUCAGGGGUUGGGAGGCAUCUCUGUGGCCAUCUUGUUCAACCUGAUUUCUGCCUGAACAGAGACAAGAUCUCCCGAUGAGAGAUCAGGCAGCCUCUGCUUCCAGGGCUCUGCUCAGGAAGGCUCCUUAACUUUCAGGGGAUUCGGCUCCACUUUGGGGCACCUCUAAGUGUUAGGAAAUGCCAGGUGUAUUUCCCUCAGCCUCACUCCCUGCCGGUGCCCCUGCUCUUGCCCAUCAGGGCCAGAAGAACUUCCCCACGAGCCCUUAGGAUAUGAGAUGGCAGUUAGCAGGCCAGCCUUCCCAGCACUCCCUGGUUUCUCGUACGUGUGAGUGAAUUUGUGUGUAUUUCUUUUGGGGUGACUCAGAACUUGUGGCAUUUUGCAAAAACCUUUGAGAGGGUCAGGAGGAUGGACAGGUUUGGUUAAAAGCUAGCAGUGUUUCGAGACUGGGAUGAACCCCCUGCAGAAACCCACCAGAUGAUAUUAGGGAAACCCAGAGUCCUUCUGGGAAAGAGAUGCUAUCCUCUAUGAGUCUCUCUUUUGUUCACUCUGUCUAAGGGGGACCGCAAUGAAGAAGGACAAUGGGGUCAGUGGACGCAUUGGUCUUCAUGAUCCAGUAUUCAGACCCAGAAGAAGAAACUAAAGCAAACGAAUGAAUAAAGGAAUGGAUGAAUCAAUAAAUAAAUAAUCCUCAGCAGUGCUGAAUCAUUUCCUACUUCCUGGGAGGGAAAGGCAGGUUUUCUCCUCAGAUAAGACUCUCCUCUAGAGCAGUAGCAAAUUGUCUUGCUCUGCUGCCAAACCCCCUACCACAAAGCCCAGCCAGGUGGCUUAGAGUCCCAGACAGCCUUCAGAUCCACUGAGCUCCAGGGCCUCCUAGCCAUCCUACUGAAGGCUGCCCCCACGACCUCCCCAUAGCUCCUGAAAGCAGGUUCUCAGUGGGCCAGUGCCCUGGCCACCCCCAGACUCCUAACACCCCCCAACUCAUCCUCACGGGCAAUGCUGAGAGAUGAAAGGCAUCUCCCCUGCCUUACAGCCCCCAAUAAAAAAACCCCAGUGAUCCACUGGCCUGCAUUCUGGGCUCCAUUUAUUUUCAAGACCAAACACUCAACCGAAGGCCAUGUAUUUUUUUAAAAUCACCAGUAUCGUGAGCCCAACUCGGAUCCCUCCCUUUUCCGCCCACUUGGGUUUUUUUUUUCCCAAUUAAACUUAACCAUUAGCAGAGGUGGGGAGCUGGAAGGCCGAGCAAGGCCCAUUCUCACGCAGAACCUCCCCGCAUCACGUAAGUCUGUCUCACUUCUGGCCUAUGGCAGCUGGGGAGGACACACCUGUUCAUGGCUGGAGGCGCAGAGAUUGGUCUGAUGGGGAAAGUGCACCUGCGCGGGGAGGGGUGCAGGGCUACAUGUAAGCCGAGUCUCGAGACACCAUCCGUCUCUUCUCCUUUCCAGCUUAAGCAGGCAACAUCUCUCUGAGCUGCAAGGUCUUCUCCCAACCCGCUGGCCUUCCUCUGAGCUCCCUAGCCUCUGGCCUUCAGUAGUCUCACCUUAAGCCUUAAAGUGAAACCUGUUGUUGCCCACUGUACUCUUAGGAUUUUUGUUUUUGCUUUUAUUUAUCUCCUGAACAUCACCUUGAAGGAACAGCGGGCUGGAGAGUCAUCUCUGUGAAGACCAGGAAAGAUGAGAAGAUCAGCCAACUCGCCAGCCCGUCGCAACAAUUUUCUCGUUCCUCUCUUGAAGGUCGAUGAUCUUGGUUUUGGAAAAGAUUCAGUCCUUUUAGCCCAGAAGUCUUAGAAGUGUAUUUACUCGGUCCCAAAGGCCGUGGUAUUUCAGGUAUUUGGGGGGUGCGACAGUCAAGUAAGGGCAGAAGCGAAUUCAGGAGUCUUUAAGUUGUAAGGAGAGUAAUUCACAGAUCCAGCGCUUGUCUUUGCAUAGGGUCACCGGCUGGUUUUAGGGAAGCUUGUGUUGGUUCAGGUUUUGUCUGUUUUGAGUUUGGGGGAGGGGUAUAGAGACAUGAAUCCUAACGUUCAUUCACUAGCCAGACAAACCAGUUAGGGCAGGUCAAGGCAGACAGCAAGGGGGGUGAUGGGGGAAAUGCCAGAGGAGAGAACCAGUGAGGAGAAAGGUAAAAAAAAAAUUAAGGUAAUAUAGGAGGGUUGGGGAAGACUUAGGAAGACUCUUUUCAGUUGCUGAAAUAAUCUCUGUUGGGAAGAAAGGAAGAAUGAGUGAGAGAGAAAAAAAGAAAGAGAAGAAAGAAAAAGAAAGAAAAAGAAAAAAAGGAUAGAAGGAAGUAAAAAAGGAUGGAAGGAAGGAAUAUGGAGAGGGAAAGAAAAAAUGAAGAAAGUAAAAAAAGAAAAAAGAAAUAAGGGCAAAAGGAAGGGAAGAAAGGAAAAGGGAGAAAGAAAGAAUGAAAGAAAAUGAAAAGAAGGGAGGGAAGAAGAAAAGGGGAAAAGAAAGAAGAAAAGGAAAGAAGAGAAGGAAGAAAAAAGAAAGAGGAUGGUAGGAAAAGAAAGGAAAAGGGAAGAGGGAGAAAGAAAGAAUGAAAGUAAAAAAGGAGAGAAAGGAGGGAAGAAGAAAGAAAAGAGAGAGAGGAGAAAAAAGGAAGAAAGGAAGGAAGGAAAAGGAUAGAAGAGAGAUAGAGAAAGAAAGAACAAAAUCAGGGGAAAAAAAAGAAAGAGAAGAGAGAAAAACAGAGAAGAAAAGAAAGGAAGGUAGAGAGGGGAACACAGAAGAAGCCAAAAAAGGAUCUUCAGUGGAAACCCCACGGAUUUGUUCUGCCACUGGAAGGACAGCAGAGCUGGGACUGACCACACGACAGAGAGAACUGCUUGUUCUGGCCCGAGAGGGCGGCCUCCCUUGUGCCCUGGGCAGGUGGGAGCUGCUCCCUGGGUGCAGCUCAGUGCUGAGGGCGGGCGGGGACUCCGAGCGCCAGAGCAGGCCCCGGGGACCCUCCCAAGGAGUGUGGCCCCCUCUGAGCUCAGCCAGGACCCCGGACCUCAGCGGAGAAAGGCCUCUGCUUCCAGCCUGUCACAGACCCCACAGCCGGAGGCAGGUAGGAGCAGAACCCUGGAUUUAGAAUGCGCGGGCUUGGGUUUGAAGGAGAACACCCUCCCCGGGUGAGCUUGGCUGCUCAGUGUCCUCACUUUUAGAUGGAGAAGAAGGAUGCUAGAUGAACCUUAAAGGUCCUUUCAGCAUUCUGUUUGGUGGUGGAGGGUAGAAAACACAAAACCAGCCGUCUGGAAAAAAAAAAAAGCGUGGGACCCCAGCUCUGUCAUUUACUUGUGUGACCUUUGGACAUUUGACUUUACUUUUCUGGACCUAUUUCCUGACCUUUAAAAUGAGGGGAUUGGUGGGCUUGGGCUCCAGGUUCCCUUCCAGCCCUAAAACUAUGGUCUACAUAACUUUAAUUGAGCGACUCCACUUCCCGAGUCUCAUUUUCCCCCUCUGUACUAAAAUGAGUGAGUUGGUCUCAACGGCCUUUGUUAAAUUUUUUAAAAAUAAGGUAUUUGGGCUUAAGUGACUUGCCCAGGAUCACACAGUAAGUGUAAGUGUCUAAGACCAGAUUUGAACCCAGGUCCUCUUGACUCCACGGCUGGACUAUCUCCCUGCCCCUCUCGGUGGCCUUUGAAAUCCUUCCAAUUCUAAAUCCAUGUUAGAUUCAUUUGCCCAGAUGACCUUUGUCAAGUCAUUUGCUGCACCUCAGUUUUGGGUGGGACGCUGAGAUAAUUUAGACGUUACUCAGAACAAUCCGGAUUGCAGUUUUAUGAGGUUUGGACGAGUUCGCUUCUUUUCUGUUUGUUUUUUAAACUGCUUCCCAAGUCUCUGGUCUUGGAUUUCAUGGAGAUGACUUCUAGAGUUACUCCCCAAGAAUGGGGACAAGAGGAAAACUGGGACAGAGCGGCCGGCCAUCAGCUGAGCAGACCCUGGAGAGCCCAGCCCCAGAGGGAUGGCUGGGACGGCCCUGGGGCCUCAGCUCAGAACCACGAGGAACAAAGUUCAGGCCCUCGACCCUUUGGGAGCUAUAGCCAGCGUGGCUGGAAUCCGGACCAGGACCGGCGCUUCCAGGGGGUGCUUGAGUACAUACAGGCAGGGGGACUCUGGAUCCGGGGGCUAUAGGCAAGAGGUGGUUGACUUGUUGGGCUCCUAAACUACCUACAUUGUAAUAGAAAGGGAAGCAGCCGGUGGUCCAAAGUUCAGACCCCAUGAAACUGUGGUGGACUAGGGAUCUAAGCCCCACCUCACUCACUCACAAGUCCUUUAACCUUAGAGACUCAGUUUCCUUUUUUGUAAGAUGAGAAGAUUGACAUUUGAGGACCUGUAAGGUCCACCUCUUUAUUUCUGGGAUUUACGAAAUGUGUGAUCUUGCCCAGAUCUCUUCUGCCAAGUAAAAGAGCAGGAUGAGAUGAUUCCAAAGGCUCCCUCUUUCUACGAAUCCUACAAACCUAGGCCUUGAGCCUCAGAGCAUGGUGAAGCUUAGAGACAUUGAGGUCUGAGUUCAAAUCCUGCCUUCUAAGUCUCAUCUCCUUUUAGACUAGAAGCAGAAGGAAGCUCUGGGAUCAUUUAUCCAGUCCAACACUUUCAGCUCACAAAGGAGGAAACUGAGGUUUCGAGAGAAAAUCACUCAAAGUCACCUAAGUAAAAUGGCAGAUCCAAGAUUCAAACGCAUGUCAUCUGUACCCCAUUGUCUCCAGUCCCUCACUAUUAUGGGAACAACCUGCUAAUGGCAGCCACUAGCAGGUUGUUCCCUAACGGCCUCACACCCUAGUUCCUUCAUCUGUAAAGUGGGGCUAAUCACACUGGCAUUAAUUCCCUCAAGGAGGUGAAUUGCUUUCAGGAGGUCUAAGGACAAGAGCACAGAAUCUGAGGUUGUAGGAUCCCAGAUCCAGAGCUGGAAACAACUUCAGAGACUAAGAAACUUUUAUUUUCCAGAUGGAAAAACUAAGGUGCACUGAAAGAAUAUGACUUGUCUAAGGUCUCAGAGGCAAAUCAAUUCUCUUCUGAGAUCCCAUUUUGGGAUCUAUAGAAGAGAAUAGAAUCUAUAGUACUUAUCUCUCACCAGGCCCAAAUGGCAUGUCCAUAAGGCCCUUUGCAAGCUAUGGAAGAGCCACAAAUAUUCAUUAUAAGCUCUGAAAGUAUGAUCCUAUGAAUAAAUGAUAGGAAGCAGGGCUCCGCCAUCAAGGUGACCUUCCUAAUCCAGGUGCCAGCUCAAAGAUGGCAAAGCAGAGAAGGCCCUUUCGAUUUCUGGAAGCCUUUUGGAGAUGAUCCCUGCCCAUCCCAGAGAGGGCCGCCGACCACAAAGUAAUAGCCUAGUAAGAAAGCGGGCAUCCCUCAGCAUGAGCCGUGCGGUGCCCCUGCAAGGACAGCCGGGCUUCCUUUUCUGAAUUAGAGAGGGAUCUCCAUGCUGAGGAUGCUCAGUGCCUUCUUCCUUCUGCUUGUACCAGGCAUUUGGAGGCCAGAAAUGGACAAUUUAAAAACUUUUCACUUGCAAAAUGCCUUGAAGGAUUUCCCUCAUCUUGGCCUUUGCGCGGUGGCUAGUUAUCCACCGGCAUUAUUACUAUUCCUAUUUUGAUAAUGGCUCGCUCCACGGCUUUAAGGUUUGUGAGAUGAUUUGUGCAAAUGAACUCAUUUGAAUUUGUGCUGUAACCGGGGGAAGUCGCGGCGAUUAGUCAAGAAGUUUUAUUAUCUCACUAUUUCACAGAUGAGGAAAAAGAAAUAGUGGGUCAGUGAUUUUUCCAGGGGUCAAAUAGCUAGAAAGAGAUCUUCCUCCCUCCAAGUCUACCUCAAAUGUUGGAGGAGAAAGGUCUCAGUCAAUGACUACAUGGGCCCCCAUGUAAUAAGCUAGGGGGAAAAAACUGAGAAAAGCAAAAUUUAAAUUUCAAAAGGCACUUAGUCAUGGGAUUAGAGAUUUAAAAGUGGGAGGGACCUUAGAGGUCAUAGAAUCAAGUGCACUAAUUUUACUUGGAGUGGGAGAAAAGGCUAAUAGCCAGCCAAUUAAAAAAAAAAAAAAAGAAA